Long non-coding RNA from Colias croceus (clouded yellow), 2673 nucleotides. RefSeq lists it as uncharacterized. Lineage: Eukaryota; Metazoa; Arthropoda; Insecta; Lepidoptera; Pieridae. The transcript has 2 exons. The record is from RefSeq and is a predicted model, not a curated record.
ACAUUUUUCAUGACAGUGUUUAUUUUUUUUAUAUUACAAGGAAUCUUUAUCACAUAUGUCAUAUUAUAUUGUUUUUUUCGUUUAUUUUUCUAAUGACGUAUAAGAAUGGCUGCUAUAUUUUCUAGUUGUAAUAACACUCGUAAAGUGAAAUUAACAUAAUCCGUCCAGUUUAUUGUGCAUCUAAUGAAAUAGGUUAUAUAAAUUUACAAUAUUAACUAAUAAUAAUUAAUAUUAUGUAGAUAAUCCCACCUACAGAUUUGAAGGCGGGAAGACUGAAAAAUAACACCGUUAUAUUUUGGUAAAAAGUCUCAUUUUUACUGAAGUAUAUCUGGAGUACAUACAUAGUUUUUUUUUUACAAUGCAGUUAAUACCGAUAAAAUCGAUUUUAUACACUAAAGUAUGUAAGGUCAAGCGGGGCUAUUCCGUGCGAAAAAAGUUUGGCCUGAAAUUAAAACACCUGUACCGACGCCCUUUUAAGCAAUUAUAACAAAUGAAUCAAUGCAGCAUAUUAAGUAUUCAUUCAUUAAUCGCCUCUCGCCAUUACGUCUGCAAGAAACAAACAAUGAGUAUGCAAAAUAAGGCGACAUAAAUAAAAACAUGGAAGCGCAACGACAAUGGUGACUGUUUUAGUACAUUAACUGAAUCCAGAUUUUCUUUUUGUUUUGGUUCUCUGAAAUCCAGUUGUUAGGAAUUUCCGGGUCUAUAUUUUCUUCUUGAAUUGCUUCCAAACUUUUAACUUUUUUCAAUGCCAAUUUCAAUAGGCUUGGUACGAUAGCUGCAGUACUAUUACGGGUAGUUUCAGCUACGGUGUUAUCAGUCUCAAUUAUUUCUUCUGAAUGUAUUUGAAUUUUUUGGGCUUCAAACGUUAAAGCCAUUUUUCCAUUGUUUGUCUGUCAAAUAUAUCUAAAACCGUUUUGGAUUAUUACAGGAUUUAAUUCAUCCCAAAUUUUUGUCAGCAUUCGAGCAAAUUCUGGCUUUGGUAAUUUUGAUCCUAUGUGUAGCCUCUGCCAUUUGAUAAUCUCACUUUCCCACUUAUCUUUGAGUGGUUUCAUCGUACUGCAAUCGAGUGGUUGCAGUCUAUUAGAUGAAUGUGGGGGAAGUUUAAUAAUUAUUGUUAUCCCGACAGAUACUGCAUAUUCAAUCACAUUUAAGUCUACGUGGGACGAAUGUCCAUCAAAAAUGAGGAGGAUUGGCCGUUUACCAUUUGUCGCUGGCACAAAGACUUCUUUUAGAUAUUUUUCAAAUAUAGUGAUUUCCAUCCACCCUCGUUGGCUUACUGCAUACGCAGUUUUCACUUCCUCAUUUGGAUAAAGCCAUUGCGUCCACAGAAACUUGCCUUGAAAAAUUAUCAGCGGAGGUAAUUUGUCCCCGCAGGCAUUUUUUGCCAGGAGCACUGUGGUAUUAUUUCUGCCUGGUCCGCUGGUGGUCCUAGUCGACGGAAAUCCUUUUUUUCCGAUGACCUUUGCUUUCACUGGAUCCUCACAAAAAGACGUUUCGUCUAAGUUGUAGAUUCUGUCUGGCUUGUCUUUCAAAUCUAGGUCCUCUACCACUUUUUCUAAUAUAUCAAAAUAAUCGUACACUACGAACGGAUUGCAAUCCUACGCCGAGAGAUUUCUACCGCUUGCGGUUUUUUGAUAGACAGUCCGUUCCGUUUUUUAAAGCCGUAGAACCAGUCCUUGCCUGGUAUAUCGUCUUUGAACGGUGUCGUAUUGUAGAUCUCGGUACCUCGUAAUACUUUGCUGCUGCGUAAAUAGUCAUUUUGUUUUCCCGAACAUCAUCUAAGGCUUUCUGAAUAGUUAAAUCAGUAUAUGUUUUUUUCUUUCUUGCGUUUAUAAUGGCGGACCAUCUACAACAAUAAGAUUAGUAAAAAAUUUUGUCAUACAAGACUUAAAGAAGGCGUCCUGUCAAAAGUUGUGUUUCUUUCAAACAGUUUACGAGCUAGUACUGCCAUCUAUAUUUUAAUGCCAAAAUAAGCAGUUCCCCUAUCUGAACAUAGAUGUCCGUGUAGUAAAAAAUUAAAAGAACUAAAGUUAUAGCCAAACGCCGGGGUAGCCCCGCUGGCGGGAUAGCCCCGCUUGACCUUACUUUUUUUAUAAUACCUACAUGUGUAUUGUAAAAAUUGUCUAGUGACUUAUUACAAUUUAAUAAUAUUUUUUACCAAAAAGGAACCUAAUUGUAUGAAUUAACAUACUUUUUUUUCCCUUUUUAACCUUUUGAGGUUGGUUUUUUUGAAAAUGUAUCAUUCCAUGUGGAUAAAAUAUAUUUUUAACUAUUAUAUUAUUAUAUAAAUGAAGUAGCUAAGCAUUACAUAUCCUUUAUACCUACUUAUGCAUUUAGUGAAUCAUUACCGUAAGGCGUGAAUAUUACCGGAUUUAUGCCCGAUUUCACCAAUAACCCCUAAACAGUCUCCUAAGUAAGGGUUCCUUAGUUUAAGGGACCCUUCAAAUCACUACCAAACCUAACGAUUUAGGUGACACUUAUCUGUCGGUGAAAGCAAAUUUUACGUUAGGUAUUCCCUAAAUUGACUUAGGUGACACUUAAAUUUUACGGGUUGUUGGUGAAAACGGGCAUUAAACCCGUUUUUUUGUUUUGGUGUACUUAGAAUAAGAGUAAUUGUAUCCGUCCAAAUGCAUUUGUGUGCCUGAUUUUUUGAUAAUAAAAUUAUUUGUAUAA